GAUGAACGCUGGCGGCGUGCCUAAUACAUGCAAGUCGAGCGAACAGAUGAGGAGCUUGCUCCUCUGACGUUAGCGGCGGACGGGUGAGUAACACGUGGAUAACCUACCUAUAAGACUGGGAUAACUUCGGGAAACCGGAGCUAAUACCGGAUAAUAUAUUGAACCGCAUGGUUCAAUAGUGAAAGACGGUUUUGCUGUCACUUAUAGAUGGAUCCGCGCCGCAUUAGCUAGUUGGUAAGGUAACGGCUUACCAAGGCAACGAUGCGUAGCCGACCUGAGAGGGUGAUCGGCCACACUGGAACUGGGACGCGGUCCAGGCUCCUGCGGGAGGCAGCAGUAGGGAAUCUGCCGCAAUGGGCGAAAGCCUGACGGAGCAGCGCCGCGUGAGUGAUGGAGGUCUUCGGAUCGUAAAACUCUGUUAUUGGGGAAGAACAGCUGUGUAAGUAGCUAUGCACGUCUUGACGGUACCUGAUCAGAAAGCCACGGCUAACUACGUG
RNAcentral lists this ribosomal RNA (497 nucleotides) under uncultured bacterium. RNAcentral's name for it is "partial 16S ribosomal RNA". It matches the Rfam family "Bacterial small subunit ribosomal RNA", at positions 28 to 507 of the family's 1533-position model. The record is from RNAcentral.